Molecule: ribosomal RNA, 465 nt
Filed under: uncultured bacterium
Lineage: Bacteria
Description: partial 16S ribosomal RNA
Rfam family: Bacterial small subunit ribosomal RNA
Source: RNAcentral
GACGAACGCUGGCGGCGUGCUUAACACAUGCAAGUCGAACGGAAAGGCCCCUUUGGGGGUACUCGAGUGGCGAACGGGUGAGUAACACGUGAGUAACCUGCCCUUGACUUCGGGAUAACUUCAGGAAACUGGGGCUAAUACCGGAUAGGAAUCCUUGCUGCAUGGUGGGGGUUGGAAAGCUUCGGCGGUUUUGGAUGGACUGGUGGCUUAUCAGCUUGUUGGUGGGGUAGUGGCUUACCAAGGCUGUGACGGGUAGCCGGCCUGAGAGGGCGACCGGCCACAUAGGGACUGAGAGACGGCACAGGCUGCGACGGGAGGCAGCAGGGGGGAAUAUUGCACAAGGGGCGGAAGCCUGAUGAAGCAAGGCCGCGUGCGGGAUGACGGCCUUCGGGUUGUAAACCGCUUUCAGCAGGGGCGAAGCUUGUGGUGACGGUACCUGCAGAAGAAGCACCGGCUAACUACGUG